GUCCUUUAGAUUUAUAAUUUAAGGUCUAACCUGCCCAAUGAUUAAUUUAAUGGCCGCAGUAUUUUGACUGUGCAAAGGUAGCAUAAUCAUUAGUUUUUUAAUUGAAAGCUUGUAUGAAUGGUUGGACGAGAAAAAAUCUGUCUUUAAUUAAUAAUUUGAAUUUAAUUUUUUAGUUAAAAAGCUAAAAUUUUAUUAAAAGACGAGAAGACCCUAUAGAUCUUUAUAUUAAAUUAUUUAAUUUAAAUUUAGAAUUUUAAAUUAUUUAUUUAAUUUAAUAUUUUAUUGGGGUAAUAAAAAGAUUAAAUAAAUUCUUUUUUUAAAAAAAUAUUAAAUUAUAAAUUUUAGAUCCAUUAUUAAUGAAAUAUGAUUAAGUUACCUUAGGGAUAACAGCGUAAUUUUUUUAAAGAGUUCAUAUCGAUAAAAAAGUUUGCGACCUCGAUGUUGGAUUAAAAGUAAUCUUAGGUGUAGAAGUUUAAGAUUUUGGUCUGUUCGACCAUUGAAUUUUU
This 506-nucleotide ribosomal RNA is filed under the name Laccophilus pictus coccinelloides. RNAcentral describes it as "partial 16S ribosomal RNA". The stretch from base 383 to 506 matches the Rfam family "Bacterial large subunit ribosomal RNA", at positions 2473 to 2597 of the family's 2925-position model. Lineage: Eukaryota; Metazoa; Arthropoda; Insecta; Coleoptera; Dytiscidae. The record is from RNAcentral.